Molecule: long non-coding RNA, 2141 nt
Filed under: Salmo salar (Atlantic salmon)
Lineage: Eukaryota; Metazoa; Chordata; Actinopteri; Salmoniformes; Salmonidae
Description: lncRNA (ENSSSAG00000121360.1)
Source: RNAcentral
CCGUUUUAAUUUCAGGAUAUCGUACAUAGAUAUUCAUUCAUUUUAUUUUAAAUGCAUUUAUACAGGUGACCUUUAUCCCAUUAAUGUUGAGAUAAAAUAAAAAAAAUAUUGUGCCACAAUCAGGCUACAACAUGUGGAAAGUGUUGGGGAAAUACAGUAGAUGUACGGCUAAUAUAGCUGCAGUUUCAUGCACCAGACUUCUGUGCGCAAUGGUCUGGGGACAAAUUCAGUAGGCUACAGCUGUGACAGCCCUAUAAAAUGCCUCAAUAACAUUACACCGUAUAGUAGUGUCAGUCAUACACAUGACACACACACACACACACACACACAUUUUUUCUUUUUUCAUUGCAUCAAUAAUAGCAAUAGUUCCACAUACUUUACCCGAAGUCCCGAACAUAUCCUGUUUCAAGAUUACGCAUAUUAAAUCAGUUUAAUUUUGUGAAGGGGGACACACAGUUGUUUUUGCGUUCAUUUGCCUCACCGCAGCAUUGCAGUAGAAGUUCUGGCAGGGGUAACAUGAGGACUGGAGCAACUCUUGGUCUCAGCCAGCCUGUCUGUGGAGUCGAGCCUUAACCGCAGUUGAUCUGACCAAUUAAAUACCCGGAGGCUGUUUCAGCGGGAGGGGUCUUCAACACGUCGACUCUUUUUUUAUUUGCUAUGACCUUAUAUUACACUUGGCAGGUGGGCAACACAAAUCAACGCCUACUUCUGGGACAUUGAAUACUUUCUCCUGGGCCACAAGACAGAAAGAGUCACCACCGCUAUUGGUUUGAAAAAAAAAAAAAAAAAUACACGAAAGUGGAAUAAUGUCGGGGAUCAGAGGUUCUGUCAAUUUGCUAAGGGUCGCAGUGAGGUCGCAGAUCGUCUCCAAAGCCACCCUGUCGCACAAGCCUGCGAAGCACCACAUAUCCGUGGGGGAGCAAGCCAUUGCAAUGACAGCCUUUUUUAUCACCAUCCUGGGGCCCUCUGGUUAUGUUCUGGCUCACCUGGAGAGCUACAAGCACCACUCCUAAGUGGACCUGUCCUGGCUGGCCUCCAGGCAACCUCACCUGAGCAUUACUCCAGAUGACGAGACGUCUCCUAAACCCUUUUUAUGAGUGAUGAUUCUAUUAAUGAAUGUACCAAUAAAUGAAUGUCCCAAUACUAUGAAUGCGUCAUCUUGAGAUCUAAACAAUCACAUACAUUUACUUUUAGAGCACAUACGUUUUUAAGCAGAUAGAUGGGCAGAAGAUAGAUUUCUGUUUCUCACAAAAAUAGACAAAGUAUAUAUAAUAUUCUAUUCUGAUAGCUAACAGUCUUGUAGUGCAUUUAUAAAUGGGUAUUUUUGCCUCACAACAAAUUGUAUACUGGUAGUACAGCAUUAUUCAGUAAUGCGAGAACUGUGACUCAGGCCUUCUAAGAACCAUUCCAUUCAGUCUUUAAAAAGGGGUGCACUCUGCAGUAAAUGUGAUUAUUAGACUAUUGUGGUAUUGCCAAUACGCAAGUGGAUUAGAAAAUAACAAAUAUUGAGGCACUGCCAGCAAAGAAGUUAAUUAGUAAUACGUAAAAGGAAGAAUUGCAGGGUAGGCCUAUUCAUUCAGUGUGGCUGAGAAUAUAGAUGUAGCCCUUUACUGCAGUCAGUGAACAAAAGCGCUCCUCUUGACCUCACGGGUGGAAUGUUAUCACUACUUUUCAUAAUUUCAUCAUUAAUAAACAUUUUUUUUAAACUACGAAAAUCCAGUGUUUCCAUGUCAAACAGUUUUGUUAUAUUUCAGUCUUCUGUGAUGUACAGUUGAAGUCGGAUGUUUACAUACACUUAGGUUGGAGUCAUUAAAACUCGUUUUUCAACCACUCCACAAAUGUCUUGUUAACAAACUAUAGUUUUGGCAAGUCGGUUAGGACAUCUACUUCGUGCAUGACACAAUUAAUUUUUCCAACAAUUGUUUACAGAUUAUUUCACUUAUAAUUCACUGUGUCACAAUUCCAGUGGGUCAGAAGUUUACAUACACCAAGUUGACUGCCUUUAAACAGCUUGGAAAAUUCCAGUAAAUGAUUUCAUGGCUUUAGAAGCUUCUGAUAGGCUAAUUGACAUAAUUUGUGUCAAUUGGAGGUGUACCUGUGGAUGUAUUUCAAGGCCUACCUUCAAACUCAGUGCUUCUUUG